CAUUAUUAUCACUAUCAUUAUUAUCAUUAUUAUCACUAUCAUUAUUAUCACUAUCAUUAUUAUCAUUAUUAUCACUAUCAUUAUUAUCAUUAUUAUUAUCGGUAGCAUGUUUCAACCGUUGGAGAACGCUAUUUCGGCCAAACUCAUUCCGGCUUUAACGGGCAGAGGACCUUGUUCCAGCGUAGAAAGAACAAUACUCUCUUUGCCAACGCGUCAUGGUGGACUCAGCCUUGUUAAUCCUGUUGAAGUCGCGAAUAGUCAUUAUAACGCAUCAUUAAAGAUUACUGAACCUCUGAAGAAGAUGAUCGUUAGCCAAACGACAACUUAUAAGAAAAUUUAUCUACACGACAUAAAAGCCGAUCUGCGAAGGCAAAAGAACCAGUACCACCAGCAACUAGCCACGGAGGUCAGAGAAAGCUUGUCCCCAAUAGACCUUUAUAAAAAGGUUGACGUCAGCAGGUUUGUGACGUAUUUGCGGAGGAAAUCCCGAAAGCUCAGAGUUUUUUACUUGUUUUGAGUUUUUUUUAAAGCCAAAAGAAGCCAGUAUUAUGGUAAGUUUGAAGUACAUUUUUCUAUAUAUAGGCCAAAUGAGUUUUCAUAUUCGUUGUAGUUUAA
Non-coding RNA from Paramuricea clavata, 615 nucleotides. The record is from the annotation of a GenBank genome assembly. Lineage: Eukaryota; Metazoa; Cnidaria; Anthozoa; Malacalcyonacea; Plexauridae.